UGGAUCCUGGCUCCAUGCCUUCCAAUCACUCAGGUGCUCCACAUGCAGCUGAGCUCCCCUGGGUUGGCCCUGCCUUCCCACCAGGUGCUCAAUCACUGGUUCAGGCCAUGACUUAGCAUUUCUGCUACAACAGUGAAAAGCAGGCACCUAGCAUAGAUAAAUCAACCCAGACAAAAAACAAUGAAACAUUGUUAGAGCAAGGACUUGAACUUCAAUUAAAAUUGCAAAUGACUCUGUACCAUCACCAAAUGCUUAGGAAUAAGACUGCUUGCCUAACUCAAUGCCCCAAAUCUAAACCAAUAAAUUUUCAAGUGCGAUAACUUGUAAAAAGUCUGCCUAGAAGGAAGGUCCAUAUCAUGAACAUUCAAAUAGACCAGCAAGAUGAUGCUAACAGCCUUCUUAUCAAAAGCAAGCCAAACAGAAUGAGUGUGAGAGAGAUGAGCUCAUGCACACUAGACAACAAGUAGCAAGCAUUCAGGAUCCUCAUUUUAGAAAAAUGAACUAUCUAUAACCUUGUUAGCCUCAUCUGGAGCAGAAAAACUUUCAAUAGCAUUAGGAUGGCAGUACUGCAGCAACACUACCUCAGACUUAAAGAAAUAACGAGAAGAAGUUAGAGGAGAUGCACUGGGUCCUGAAGCUCUCUCAUAAAGGAAUAAGCUUUCUGAAUACACCGACUUACAGCACAUGAAAAUAAACAUAAAGCUGGAAAUCCCAUGUUCUGUCAUGGAGAUACUUUCUACUUCUCACUGAGUCAAAAGUGCAUAGAGUCCACAACAGCCUUAUUGCAAUAUUUCAGAAAAUGCUCAUGCAGAAGUACUUGUCUUACAACAUUGCUGAUCUAUUGCACCUGAGAAAGUUCUCUGGGAACCCUAAGGACCAAGAAACCUCCAAAACAACAGACCCUCCAUGCUCCCCUUCCACACUCAUGAUGAAUGUAAAGAUAAAGAUGUAAAGCUGAGAUACCUUAAAUUAGUGCUAGAUGUGGCUGGGUUGAAUGCUAGAAGUUUCCAGAGAGCAUUGAGGGUUUUUUUUUUUUUUUAAUCAAAUGUGCCUUUUUGAAACCAAAAUCUGCUGUUCCUCAUCAAAUAAAACAGUGUCAACUUUUCUGCAAAGCAGAUCUUUGUUCAAGCACAGAAAGAGGUACAAUUCAUCCUGCUGUAUAUUUUAUAUGUGCAUAUAUACUACAGGCUGAGUUUAAUAUGUUAAGUUGACAGAAAGUACCUAAGGAGAUGAUAUUUUUCCUCAAAAUAAAACUUUUUUUUUUUUUUUUUUUUUUUAAUAUUCUUGUUCCUCUUCUCCUGUUUGUCAGUUGAAGAACUACAAAACUACUGUAAGUUUUCUUCUCCAAAACACUAGCUAGAUGACUUCAUUUCUCUUGGCAGUUUUGGGAGUUUGAUCUCUUCACACUUUCACCUUUGUGAGAGUAAUCCCCCCUUCUAGCUGACUCAUUCAAAGUCUACAGAGCAGAUAAAAGAGCAAGCAGUUGAGCCUUGGCCUCCCAAAUCAUUUUUAGCUCUCUAUCUUUCAGCAUAUCUUUUCCUUGAAGAAAGUUUAUACCUUUCCUUACAGGAAUGCAAUUUGUUCUAGGAAAGAAAAGAAAAAAUCAAGACUAACAUGAACAUCUAUUACAGUUCAUCUGUUAGGAUAAUAAAACUUCUAGAGAGGUUAUAAUAGUAGCUUUACCUCAUUUGUCUUUUAAAAUCUCUUCUCCCUGUCUUAGAAGGCAGCAAUAAAAUAAGAUCAUAGAUAUGCUAGGUCAUCCCAGCUCUUACCAUUUGUGUCAUUCAAGCUAGUUUUAAGUAAGGCUAGAGAACAGUUGGUUUUAAAAUUCUGGCUAUUCUCUCUGCAUAGGGUUUGUCCAAAUGUUCGCAAUGUCAAAAAUAAAUAAAUAAAUAAAUCACCUGGGACAUCAUUUUGACUCUAUAUAAAGUGCUCAUUUGGACAAUAUUAACCAUAAGAGUAGAAAUCUUUCUUGGAAUUAAAUAAAUGCAUUUUUUAUGUUGGUGAAAAAAAGACUGAGACAACCUACUUAGAGUACUGAGCAAACUAGGUGACUGGAUGCUCAGCUCACUACCCAAAUUCAGUUUAAGUAGUAGCAAAAUACAAGCUGUUGUAACUUGGGAAAUCUAGAAAUACAGACAUUUUACAAGAAGAUCUGUAGAAAAUUCCGAGUUUUUUUUAGUUAAGGAAAUACUUCUUUCAUGUUCAUGUUAGUUUCAAAACUAUUUACUUCUAUAGUUUCAGUUCAAUAAAACUUUUAGAUAUAGUUACCACCCACUUAAAAACUACUAUAAUGUCUUUUCACUACAUCAAUUAUAAACAUUCUUCAACAGAAUUGUCAGAGAUGACAGGAGAUACUGCAUGAUCUGCUUUUGAAUGUAUUAGUUUUGCUAUUAAUACUAAAUACAGUUGUGUUUUUAAAGUUUUACUUGGAGUUGUUCUUAGUGGUAAUAUUUGUUUUUCUCACCCUAUUGAAGUACACUGGAACAAAGGUAUACCUCUAUCUUCAUGUAAAAUGACAAAUGAUUAUUUAAUGUAAUUGUAAAGGGAACACAUUGAGAACUGAAUGAGUGACUUUGGCAAUGAUUUUCAGAAAAAUCUUUUUGUUCUGUCAAUUACAAAUAAUUUUCCAUUAUUCAUCACUUAAUAUAUUAUUCAGUAAUUUUCCAGAGGAUCUAUCAAUCUCAAAUUAUUUAAUGGUAAUUCUAUGUUGAACAUGUUUCACCUCACAUCAUACUACUGAUAUAGCCUUUUUUUUUUCCCUAGAAAUAAUAACUAAACCAUUCUCUGAAAGAGCAAAUCAAAUAGAGUUUUUUAAUCAACUAAAAGAUGGGAAAAGCCAGAAAGAGGACUAGAACUACAUCCAAUAUCUAAAAAGUACCGAAUCACAUUUAGCAUCUUUGCUCUUUGUGUUUUACUUUGAUCUAUACAUUAUCAGUCAUAAACUUUGGCUAAUUCAAAACAAAAGAGAUUUUUUUUUAAAAAAAAGAAUAUUAAUAUGUUAGCCCAAGAAAUUGCAUCAUUCUUUUAACUGUUUACCAGAUUUGUCUUGAGUCAAGAUACAUUUAAAGCUUAGAUGUGAAGGAAAAUAUACUAUUCCUAGGGGGCACAGAGAACCCAAUAACUUUCUUCUUCAUGCUUAAUAAUCUUGUAUGUGAGGGACCAAUCCAAUUUGUGGAAACGAAUUGUACCUUAGGGAUAUGUUAUUUCAACCCAAACUGAAUAUACUAUUCAUUUUAAAAAGUAGCAAUAAAAAUUAUAUAAGAUGCAAUUCAUUAUUUUUCUAAAUGUUUCGUGAUUCCACUGGGAGGAGAGACUUAAAUAGCUUACAGGAAGCCUACCUUAAUUAGGUUGCUUUUCAAAUCAAAUAUAGUAUAAUUUUAACAUAAAAAUGUCACUCAAGGAAAGUAUUCCAUUUACAAAGAUGAUUAAUAAAGUUUAAAGGAAAAAUGGGGGAUAUAUCCAUGGGUGAUAUGUGAAGGAAUGUGAGAGAGGAAAUGAUGCACAUGUAAAUGGACAUGUACAAAUAUGCAGCUAGCUAUGAGCUAUAUACAGAUAUCUGUUUCAUAUUCAUGCAUGCCUACACACACACAGAGAAGGGCAAUUUGUUACCAAAGCAACCACAUUCAGUUGUUUUUUUGUCCUCCAUCAGAAUUGGUUUGCAUUUUUGUUAAAAUAUUUUAGCUACUAAAAGCUCAGAAGAAUUUAUUGUGUAAAUAUUUAUUUAAGCUCAAAACUCGUUUACUUUUAUAAGAAUCUCUUUUUCAGCUUUAUAAGGGAAAAAAAGAAGAAAAUCAUAUUUGUUUUCAUGGAUUUACAAACAAUAAGACAUUAAAGUUAUAAUUGAGGUACUUUGCCUCAGUGGUGCUGUUAAAAUAUUGAUGUUUAUGCCAUAGAAAUAGUCAUUUCCUUUUCUGUGUAUAGAGAAAUGCUUCAGUUUCUCAGAUCCUCAAAUACAGUAAUUUACAUAAAUAUUGACUUUUAAUGAGGGCUGUGGUCAACGAUUUAAUUUGGGGACUGCAAUUCCACUGUAAUUUAAGAAGCAACAAUAAAAGCUGAAAUUUAGGAGCUUUAAUUCUCAGUGUACCCUUUCGGAAGACACUUAGUACUAAGUUUUAUAAGCCUUCAAAUAGCUUUUAAAUGAAGUACCUGAGUUCCACUAUUACCAUGUACUUGCAGUGCUCCAUGUACCCACCCCCAGUCUUAGUUUCUGAAACCAGGCAGCAAAACUUGAAAAUUCUGGCCUUAUCUUUCCUGCAUCUCAGCUAACCCAGUAGAAAAUAUACCCUAAGAAGAUUUACACAUUUAGGGAUUUACACAUCAUAGGUAACCAUGGCUUGAAUAUGUUGUGUAUAAUCCAUUCACAAUUAAUUUUUCAUGUUAGGCAAUAAUUUCAUUAACCUGAAGAGACAAGUUGACCAAAUAGUGAGUGAGAGAAGCAUGCACUAUAAUAUUCAACUUUUUUCCUUUUCUUUUUCCCGUGAAAAGCUGUAAAAACUUGUGAGUCAAAUCAAACACAGAAUAUAGCGUUCUGUGAUAUGAUCACUCAUGUCUUAUACAAAUUAUUAGCUCACCCUGUAAGGCUGAUCUAUACUUAAAACAAAAUGGAAUAAUGUAUUUUAUUAACAUCUGUUCAUCAGAGACAUUUUUUUCAAUAAAUAACAAUCAUAUAUCCUGCACUGAAAUGACACGUUAAAUGGUUUGGGUCUGUAAACAGUAUUUUAUCUCAUAAAUAGCAAUGGAGAUUUUGUAAUACAAUCUUGCAUACAGCUUGUAUCUUAAUACAUAAUAUUAAGAAGUACUUCACUAGAUCUGUGAAAAAAAUGUUAUUAGUUUUUAUCUUGCUGAGACUCUACAUUUUUUAAAAUCAAUUCUGGGUCAAUCCUUUUUCCAUUUUGGUUAGAACAAACAUCAGAUAUUAUUUUGAAUCAAAUGAAACUUUGUUUUUAGCUGCGUAUUUUUUAUCCUAAAACCUAGUAUUUAAUUUUAAGCAGCUUUCUAAAUGAAAUGUCAUAUAAAAAGAUUAACCACCACCACCAACAAAAACAAACAACAAAAAGUCUUGAUGUAUGUUCUUUUCACAUUUUAAGUCUUUCUGUGAUUUUAGCUGACUUUUAUUGAGGAUACUGCAAUGUACUUGCCACAUGAAUAAUGAUUCAGAACUUUGUGCCAGUCUGUAUAGAACUGCUGACCUUUCACUUAGCUGCAGACACCUCUCUAUCCAUAACCCAAAGAGGGUGACUGUUACUGCCAGUGAGUGAAACAUCAAACAGCAAUCUCAAAAUAUAAGGAUCUAUUCAUAAGGAGAUCUGAAACCUUGAGAAUGUUAGAAAUAACUAGGACUCCCUUGUUAAUGAACAAAAAACCGUUAAUCAGUUCCACAUAGCAAUUUGUAAAGCAAAUAAGGAUAGUGAUGGAUUGUCAUGCACAAGUAUCAUAUAUCCAAAUAAUAAUUACUCGCUUUAUAGUAUAAUAUUCUCUGUGUAUUCAUAUGCAGAUUUUAAACAAGCUACAUCCUUUGUUAGGAUUAAUAUUUGAUGUAUGGAAUAGUAUUUGACAAAUACCAAUAUUUAUAUAUAUAUAUAUAUAUUCCUUUUAAUUUCUCUUCGACAUCUUUUCUGAGUCUGUUUUUAGCAUUCUUUAAACAAUUUACUAAGUUUGUCUAUUCUCUUUGAAAAGCAUCAAAGUGUUUAGGACUUCAGCAUUUUAAACACACCCAAUGGUAACUGUCCCAUCCUUCCUCAGUGGGACUUUCAGCAUGCAGGAACAACUCUUUUGUAAGAGAUGAGAAGAACAGUACCUCAGAGCCCACCAGGAGCUCCUUUACUGUUAGGAUCCAUGCAUAUUCAUUGAUCAGCCAGUCAGUCACCUCUUUCUCUUUGGCACUGAUUGACAUUAUGACCUGAAGGGAAAAACAGAUUUGAUACCAACACAGAAACUUCUAUAGCAACCAGCCAACCUCUUGUGACAAUAAUAGGAGACUAAUCAGUUAUAGCUGAACGAAAUUAAGAGUACUGCUAUUUUACAGAGUUAUAAUGAUGUUCUCUGGCCUAAGGUGAACACAUUUCCCAAAUAUAAUCAUGACAUUACUAAUUAUUCCAAAUCUGCAGGUCUACCCUAUCCCAACUGCUCACAUUUCCUCUUUGUGCCAGAAUUUUCUUCAGGAACAGUUCAAACAACAUCCAAAGCUCCUCUGUGUGGCCCUUCAGCUCCUUGUCUUAUAGGAUAUGUCUUCUUUGUCCCUGCUGCUCGGAUCUCACCCAGUGGCCUGUGGCAGACUCCUCCUAAACCUGGAAAAUUCUCACAGGUUUCUUCAAACACAUUUAGGAAGAAAAUGCAACUGAAAAUGGCAAAUACAAAUCCAGGUACAGGAAUGAGAGGCGAAACUGAAAUUCAUGGAUUAUUAAGUCCUGAAGAUGGCAGCAGAGGGACAAUCUGACAUGGAAGUGCAAUGAAGAAAAGGAAACAAUGAAACAGGAAAAAAACCCUUUCCCUGAGGAUAACAGAUGAAGAGUUGAAGCUCCUUGCAUUCCACUCAAGCCAAAUUUUGGAAGAGGAUUAUAGACUUGGUCAAGAGGGAAAUGUUGGGGAACACUAUCAAGUCUAUCCAUAUAGCACAUUAAAAGACUUUUUCUUCACUUGACUCUGCUAAUCCUGUCAGCCAUUGUUGGUUUUAUGCAUAAUUUUCAGGCCAUGACAGACUUUAAAGAGAAAUGCUCAUAUGAAUUUGAGAAAUUUAUAUGAACUUUUAAUAUUAUCACAAUAGUUUUCUGCAAAACACCAAAGAGUUUCUGUCAGAUACAGUGACAAUUGCAGUUUCCCUUCUAGAUUGUAAACAAAUGUGAUUUUAAAUGAUACCAUCCUAUCCUUUAGACAACUGAUAAAAUUCUUUCCUCACCUCUCAUGUUUCAUUAAGGUGUGUCAUAGGUUUUUUCAAUGCAACAAAAUAAAAAAUCACUACACUGGUAAGAUCAUCAUGGCCAGCUCAUUUAUUUAACCUAUGAAUUUGCAAAAAGAAGAGUAUAAGAGUUCUCAAAAUAUAAAGUCUUACUUAUAAGGACAGUGAAUGAGG
This is a long non-coding RNA of Gallus gallus (chicken), 7072 nucleotides long. The record is from Ensembl. Lineage: Eukaryota; Metazoa; Chordata; Aves; Galliformes; Phasianidae.